Molecule: ribosomal RNA, 465 nt
Filed under: uncultured bacterium
Lineage: Bacteria
Description: partial 16S ribosomal RNA
Rfam family: Bacterial small subunit ribosomal RNA
Source: RNAcentral
CUACGGGGUGCAGCAGUGGGGAAUAUUGGACAAUGGGGGAAACCCUGAUCCAGCAAUGCCGCGUGUGUGAAGAAGGCCUGCGGGUUGUAAAGCACUUUCGGUUGGGAGGACUGCUUCUAGCACUAAUAUUGUUGGAAGUUGACGUUACCUUCAGAAGAAGCACCGGCUAACUCCGUGCCAGCAGCCGCGGUAAUACGGAGGGUGCAAGCGUUAAUCGGAAUUGCUGGGCGUAAAGCGCGCGUAGGCGGCUAGAUCAGUCGGGUGUGAAAGCCCCGGGCUUAACCUGGGAACUGCAUCCGAUACUGUCUAGCUUGAGUACAGGAGAGGAGAGUGGAAUUCCACAUGUAGCGGUGAAAUGCGUAGAUAUGUGGAGGAACACCAAUGGCGAAGGCAGCUCUCUGGCCUGAUACUGACGCUGAGGUGCGAAAGCGUGGGGAACAAACAGGAUUAGAUACCCCAGUAGUC